Molecule: long non-coding RNA, 473 nt
Filed under: Phoenix dactylifera (date palm)
Lineage: Eukaryota; Viridiplantae; Streptophyta; Magnoliopsida; Arecales; Arecaceae
Description: long non-coding RNA (PDAC_LNC016663)
Source: RNAcentral
AAAAUUGGAAGAAAUCAAAAGUUAAUGGCAUAACGGUAGAUAUGUUGAAGUGUUAGGGGCAAAAUGGAAAUUUAAUAAUAUUAAACAAGGGGUGAAUAGUGUUUGAUGUGAUUUAAUUAGGGGGUUUGCUGUGGCUUUUGGAUGGAAACCGAGAGAGAGUCACAGAGGGAGUCUCAGACGGACAGAGAGGAAGAAAAAGAAGGAGAGGAAAGGAAAGGAAGAAAGGAAAGGAAGAAAGGAAGAGGAAGGAGAUCCCGGUUGCGCUGCCAGCUGAAGGAAAAAGUGUAGAUCUCCUUCCCCUCUAUGCAAGGACCUCGAUUUUCAAAAAGAAAAAGAUAAAUAUCCGUCCCUAUCUAGUCUUUUGAUGACAUUAGGCUAUACAAAGGGUGGAUAUAGUCUAGAGGGGUCGGAUAAGGGUUGUAGAGGCGGUUAAAAGAGGAAGAAUCGGAUUUUGACAAAUUUUUCCGGCACUA